This 377-nucleotide ribosomal RNA is filed under the name uncultured bacterium. RNAcentral's name for it is "bacterial SSU rRNA". It matches the Rfam family "Bacterial small subunit ribosomal RNA", at positions 523 to 898 of the family's 1533-position model. The record is from RNAcentral.
AUACAGAGGUGUCGAGCGUUGUUCGGAUUUACUGGGCGUAAAGGGUGCGUAGGCGGAUCCGUGUGUCGGAUGUGAAAUCUCCCGGCUUAACUGGGAAACUGCAUCUGAAACUACGGUUCUCGAGUUCAGGAGAGGAUGGCGGAAUUCUCGGUGUAGCGGUGAAAUGCGUAGAUAUCGAGAGGAACACCCGUGGCGAAGGCGGCCAUCUGGACUGAUACUGACGCUGAGGCACGAAGGCCGGGGGAGCAAACAGGAUUAGAUACCCUGGUAGUCCCGGCAGUAAACGUUGUACACUUGGUGUGAGAGGAGUUAUCCCCUCUCGUGCCGGAGCUAACGCGUUAAGUGUACCGCCUGGGGAGUACGGCCGCAAGGCUAAA